AUACGGAGGGGGUUAGCGUUGUUCGGAAUUACUGGGCGUAAAGCGCGUGUAGGCGGCUUGGUAAGUCAGGUGUGAAAGCCCUUAGCUCAACUAAGGAAAGUCAUCUGAAACUGCCAGGCUUGAGUACGAGAGAGGAGAGUGGAAUUCCCGGUGUAGAGGUGAAAUUCGUAGAUAUCGGGAGGAACACCCGUGGCGAAGGCGACUCUCUGGACCGAUACUGACGCUGAGACGCGAAAGCGUGGGGAGCAAACAGAAUUAGAUACCCCAGUAGUCC
This 274-nucleotide ribosomal RNA is filed under the name uncultured bacterium. RNAcentral's name for it is "partial 16S ribosomal RNA". It matches the Rfam family "Bacterial small subunit ribosomal RNA", at positions 523 to 796 of the family's 1533-position model. The record is from RNAcentral.